This 299-nucleotide unclassified non-coding RNA is filed under the name plant metagenome. RNAcentral describes it as "partial contains 5.8S ribosomal RNA, internal transcribed spacer 2, and large subunit ribosomal RNA". The stretch from base 1 to 105 matches the Rfam family "5.8S ribosomal RNA", at positions 50 to 154 of the family's 154-position model. The record is from RNAcentral.
GAAAUGCGAUAAGUAAUGUGAAUUGCAGAAUUCAGUGAAUCAUCGAAUCUCUGAACGCACAUUGCGCUCGCCAGUAUUCUGGCGAGCAUGCCUGUUCGAGCGUCAUUUCAACCAUCAAGCUCUGCUUGCGUUGGGGAUCCGCGGCUGCCCGCGGUCCCUCAAAAACAGUGGCGGGCUCGCUAGUCACACCGAGCGUAGUAACUCUACAUCGCUAUGGUCGUGCGGCGGGUUCUUGCCGUAAAACCCCCAAUUUCUAAGGUUGACCUCGGAUCAGGUAGGGAUACCCGCUGAACUUAAGC